Molecule: small nuclear RNA, 107 nt
Filed under: Tursiops truncatus (common bottlenose dolphin)
Lineage: Eukaryota; Metazoa; Chordata; Mammalia; Artiodactyla; Delphinidae
Also listed under: 1 other name
Source: RNAcentral
AUGCUCGCUUUGGCAGCACAUAUACUAAAAUUGGAACGAUACAGAGAAGAUUAGCAUGGACCCUGCGCAAGGAUGACACACAAAUUCAUGAAACGUUCCAUAUUUUU